AGUCCAGUCGUUGUCCCAGUCAUCGCUUUCCCGUAUUGCUGGGAGAUUCGUAGUUUUUGGUUGCACGUGAUGGAUUUGUUUGCCUCCCUUUGGUCGUGUAUUUGAUUUUACAUCUUUUGAUGGUCUCGGCUUGGCCCCCUGGUUCUCCCAGUCAUUUUCCCUUUUGUAGCAAAGCAUUAUGUGGUGGGGUCCUCCACAGUACGCGCAGUCCUCGGCGUUGCAAGUCCCGAUUUGAUGCUUCAACAAACAUUUGAAGCAGGAUUUGAGUGACCUCACCUCUUUUGUUUCCAGUCAGUUCGUGUUUCUUCGUCUAUUUUUGAUAACACGAUGAACUCCACUAUAAUGUCCCAGUUUGUAACCGACACGCCUAGUCCCGGCAGUGCUCGAAGUAGCUGGUUGGUCCCGUCCACGAUAGUCCUGAUCAACUUGAAUGUUGGUCGUUGGGUAAUUGCUGGAAUUUGGAAGAAUUUCCUAAUAUAUUCAUGUGCGAUCUCAUCCUUCCUUUCGUAUCGUCGUAAUAAGUCUCAAUAAUUAAUUACUUGACUUUUAAAUCCAGUUUUCGGAUUUAAACAAACAUAACGGACAUUCAAUUCUUUUCUCUGGAUUUGAUUCACCCUUGCCUACCGCUAGCGUUCCCUUUUGAAGUUAACUGGUUUUUUACCAUUUAAAUCCAAUUCUUAGAUUUAAACACUUGUGGAUCUGGUACCGCCUCGGAUGGUGGAAUAUCAGCUGCUUGUUGAACAGAGCACAUUUGAGUUGCAUUCACUAGUUAUUCAUUACUCAUUUUUUAUUCACUUUGAAACCAAUACUUUUCAAAAAAUCAAUAUUUUUUUGUAGUUAACGGUCGUUUUUUAGUUAUCAACUUUCUUUUCACUGUUGUCUGUUGUGAUCGUCGUUCACGAUUGACGUUGCGAGCAGUACCUGAUUCACUUUUAUAUGGAUUUGGUUGAUUCUGAUAUUUGAUAAGUUGAAGAUAAUUACAAUUUGAAUACCAUAGUGCCUGUUGUUCCCAUGAAUAUAUGUGUAAUUUCUAUUUAGUUGACUUCGAUCUUUAGUAAAGACUUAUUUUUGAUGAUUAGAUAGAGAUUUGAUAGAGAUUUGAUUGAUGAUUAGAUCGACUCGUGUACGUGUUAAUCUCUUUUUCGCAGUGAGAUUAUGUAACUGCUUCAAUAAAACACCUUUGACUUAUACUUUUUUAAAGUUUAUUUAAAAUAACCACUUUAACAAUUCUGUCUUAAUGACACCCUAGUUUUCCCUAUACAAACUCUGAUUGCGGGUCAACUUUAGCAUUCGUCGAGACAAUCAGACUUUGUUUAUUUUAUAUUGUAGUUGCGGGUCAACUUUAGCAUUCGUCGAGACAACUACAAUAUUCGAAGAGAUCUGGCUACUUAACUUUACUAUGAAAAAUACCAGCCCUUUUAUACCUAAAUUUUGUCUUUCCCACUUACAUGAAUUACAUAGUACGACUAUAGCAAUUUCGAAUUACAUGGUCAUAUUCGGUUCAAAGUCCAUGUUUACAAUAUUUAUCUUAUACUGUGUUUUGACCGUAAACCAAUUUACAUAUUCUUAUAUUGACAGUGGUCAUGCGAUCAUAGCGAAUGCGAUGUAACAUGUCGCAUAGCAUCGCUAUGUUAUCAUUGUUGCCUUUCACUUUUACAGCUUAUUAUCAUAUAUGUAAACAACGGUCUUCGUUGCUUCAUAUAUGCUUACAGUGUUAUUGUGAAUUAGCUUAAGACGUACAAAUUCCGGUUUUUGAAUGUAAACAAACAUUGAAAUUUUUGGGCUUUUAAAUCCAGUUCGGAUUUAAACAACUCGAGUAAAGACUGAUUUUUUUUCAAUCGCAUCAACAUGAAGGAAAAAAGUAGUGGAAAGAAAAAGAGCAACAAAGUUGUUAAGAAAUUUUUUAACAAGAAAUCGAAAAAUAAAUCGUUUGCUAAGAGAAAGAGACAUAAAGUCAUAAAAUUUUUGAUUUUAAUGAACCCAAAACCGAAACUUAUUUUUUUAUUGAUUUGUGGUUUCUCCAUCAUUUCUUCUAACAUGUAUGCGACACGUAAACAUAUAUUCAUUAAAUUUCACUGGUUCAUUAUUUUCAUCAACAAUGGUAUAUAUAAUUUUUCCACGAAUUUACUUAUGUCGUAGUUUGUUAAUGCUCGUUCAGGCGGCAAACUUAUAAGUUUUUUCUUUGUGUAGGCUUUUUGUGUUGACAAUAGAGUCCAUAUCCAUUUUUAUACGAGUAAAAAAAAGUUUUAAAUUAAAAAUCAAAACAAUUCAUUACAUUCAUUAACAUCAGGCUCUCUAUCGAACUACCAAUAGAUAUCACCGAAUCACUGCUGAUAGUUAUCACUGAAGCAUUCUUGUUUAAUCGACGCUUAUUUUCAUUGUUCUCAUUAUCGUUUUUCAAACUUCGUCGAUACCUUUUUAGUUCUAAUUUUGAUACCAAUACCGUGUCUUCACUGGUUUCACUUUGUUGACGAGAUGUGCUAGGUCGUUCCAUUGGUGUUUGUUGUUGUUGUGAAUGUGAAGUAAAAGUAGGACUGUUAUGAGUAACGACUCAGAGAAGAGUGAUCUUUAUUGUGUAUCAGGUUUACAUUGACCGCUCAGAGCUUACAUGCUUACGUAUGUGUUUACGCUUACUCUUGAGUGGCUGCGGCGCGUGCGUAAGCUUGUUACGACUUGCGCUACAUGAAGAAGUACUUGGUCUUUCUGUUCUAGUGGUUGGCCGUUGUUUCGUCAUUGAAGUUCGUUUCCGUUUCUUCGUUGGUUCCGGUGUGACCUGACGUCUUUGCCGUAGGUACUCCCGUGGCACAUCGAGUGGACAAUACAUGAACCACGCAAUUUGAUCCGCAAUCCAAGCGAAUAGGAAUUCACUUAAUACUUUAACUUUAACCAUUUUACAAAACACUUCUUUGCUGUUUUAAAGUCACGAAGCAACUGAUCAUAAAAAUCAUGUAAAACACAAAUUCUAACAAAAAUAUUCGGAAUCAUAAAACAGAGUCGUAAAAAAUUUAAUAUACAUAACAUUUUUUUGACACAUAUGUUCCUUCAAUUUCACGAUUAUAAUAAUCAAUUAAAGGAUAAGUAAUUGGAUUCGUAUACACUACUUCACACUGCAAACAUGCAUUGGAAAUAAGUAUAUAAAUAUGCGAACACAAAGAACAACAACUUUUUUUUACAAAAUAUACACAUCACUCUGUAUCGGAUCCAGGUAAUGAAAGUAGUAUACCUGUACCGGUUCUGACUCACUUUUUGACUGCGAGUCUGUUUAAUGGUAAAUACUUUGUCAGUGUAUUUAAAGAACUGUUUAAUAAAAACACUUGAACAAUAUUAGUUUUUAUGCACUUUUAUUCUUCACAAUAUUUUUAUUUUAUUUUCACAAUUUGUUGUCUUAAUGACACCCUAUUUUCCCUAAUUCCUGUUUAAAUCUAAGAAUUUAAAUGGCACUUAAAAACACAAUCACAUGAUAAAAGCUGAUGAAGAAUAGGGAAGCAAGUAGUGUCUAAUUUGAAUUGUUAUAAACAAAAAGGGAAAAUAAAAUACGGAAACGAAAAAGGGAAAGAAUUUAGUGGUUUUUAGUCAAAAUAUCAGUUUAAAAUUCUCACUGAUAUAAAAUAAAAGAGAGCCAGCUUUAAACAAUUCCUUAAGAGCUAUGAAUUGCGGGUCCGCUUAUGCAGAGACAAUUCAUAGGUCGAUUCCGUACAAGUCGCGAGUCAACUUUAAAAUUCGUCGAGGCAACUUGUAUGGAAGAAUGGAUCUGGCUAUCUGAUUAAAAUAGCAAAUUUGCCCUUUAUUUAUACUGAUUUUUCACAGAUUUCUCUUUUCCCACUACAAUUAUUUUACAGUAAAGUCUUACAGUACAAUCUCUUAUCCAUAGUGUAAACAACAGAAAUCUUACUCAAUUCGAGGUCAUCAUACAUUUUUCCCGUAUUAUCAAUAAUAUACAUUGUGACGCUCUUAAUUAAUUCUGGUUUAGUGGCUCAACAUACAGCAUACUGUAUAUUGUCGCCCAUUCCUCUUUACCUCAUUAAUAUGCAUACGCAUGAGACUCAUCGUUGUCUCAUUAUCACACGUUCGAUCAACACCUCUGUUCAUCGCGUAUCAAUGAUGGUGCGUAUCAUCUUAAUCCAGUUUUCAUAUGUAAACAAAGCAUUCGCUCUUACAUUUUUGUAACUGGUUUUUUGUUUACCUUUUUAAAUUUUUUACUCUUCUUAACUGAUUAGCUCUUCAGUUUGAGUUUAUAUCUGAUAGUGAAAACACGUUAGUGAUGUCACAAAAUGGGUUUUGUGACGCAAGCGAUAACCUUCUGGAACCAAUAAAUCGGCCUGGUUAAAGGGAAUGGUAUCAACAGAGGACAAACUAUCCUCUCCGUCGGAGCACAGGUUAAUCACUAAAUUAAAAUUAAAAUUAAUGGGAAACCAUAAAAUAAGUUAAACAAGGGAAAUAAUAACAAUCACUGAAAACUUGAUAAAGAAUAGGUUAAGGUUUACACAUACGGUUUGGAUUUUGGCGUGACAUUGUUCUUGCUGCUUUGUUGCGAUCAAAACACAAACUAAAACCAUCGGGCAUGUUGCCCCUUUCAUUUUUUGUUGUGCCUGUUCAUAUAAAUUCGACUUCUGUGCUUUCAUGGCGCUGUCAUUAAUAGAAAGGAUGAUAUUAUAAAUUUAUACUGCUAAUCGGCACAGGUCUUUGCCCUGUAUUUAUACUGAUUUUUUCCAGCUUUCUCUUUUUCCCACUACAAUAAUUUUACAGUAAAGUCUUACAGUACAAUCUCUUAACCAUAGUGGAAACAACAGAAAUCUUGCUUAAUUCGAGGUCAUCAUACAUUUAUCCGUAUUAUCAAUACAUUGUAACGCUCUUAAUUAAUUCUGGUUUUCUUACACAUAACAUUGGCCCUAAAUAGCAGCAUUGUAAUGCUUUACAUACUGUGGCUCAAUAGGUCCACCUAGUUUCCGAAGGAUAAGAGUCAACCUUGUACAUGAAAACAUCUUCCAUCGGAUGCCACUUGAGUCCCAGAACCUUCUUAGCCUCCUCGGUUUUAAUUCCAACCACUGACGGAGAGGCUUUCUGUUCAAAACGAUGAUUCCCGUGAUAAGUGAGGGAAUAAACACUAUCUUUAAAUUUUACAAACCAAGGUUGAUCUGUUUUUGUAACAGACUGAAAACUUGGCUGAAUUAAAUUUUGUAGAUUUGAUUAUGUACGCACCUUGUUAAAAGUUGCUCAUUAAUCUUGCCAAAAAUUAUGUGCAAGGCGCGAUACUCGCCGGCUAAGUUUUGGCUCUUCAAUUUCGGAAAAUCUUUUAAUGAUUUAAAUGAUUGAAUCGAUUUUUAUGCGUGAAACUAAGAUGAUGAGAACGAGAAUAACUUAACUAAUUUGAAUGUGUGCGUGGGAGAUUGAGCUUGAGCUUGGUAAACAAAUGAGCUUUGAAACAAAAAAUGAAUUCUUAAAUUUUUGUUUUUAUUUACUUUUUUUGGUUUGUAAUUUUCAAUGAAAUUUUUUCAUUAAUUAAAAUGUUGAAUGAUUCCGGCUCAAAAUUAGCCAAUUUGUAUUGUAUGCUUAUCGUAUAUGUACACAAUUUAAAUGUUUUGAGUCUAUAUAUCAAUGAAUCUAGUAUAGGAUUUAAUUUAGGAAAACUAAAACUAAAAUACUAUUGUAAGCUUGAAUGUAAGAAAAAAAUCAAUCUAUGUGGUUUUCAAAGUGACAAUCUUCUUGUCACCAAUUGACCAUCGAAAGAAUUAAGUUCGAGUAUUCAGUAUGCAAUUGACGUGUUGCAUCCUUCACAUCAUCAGAAGUCCAAAUGUAUUAAAAUGGAAACCAAACCAUUCCAUCAUUCACUCUUCAAACUGCUACAAGUUUCGAUGUCAUUAACACCACCCUUCGACCAAAUGCACAAAUGCAAAGCUGCCACUCAUUCAAGUCCGUGUGGGAUCCAAUGGCCUAUUUUUAUCGAUUACAUUUCCUUCAUCGUAUUUCACAUAUAAAUGUGGAGCGACUCAGGAAUGGAUCGUUGAAAGGUUGAACCCUUUGAACCCAAAAAGAAGAAUGACAAAAAUACUGUAUGAAAAAUAUACAAAAACCAACGGACCCAUGACAUCAAAUUGGAUUUUUCAAUAUCAGUGGCGAAAUGACCAAUAGUUGUGGAAAGCAGUCAAAAUCUGUUCCAGUCCGUGCAGUUCACCAAAUCUGUGAGUUGUAGAUUUCAAAUCAUCUCCGAAUUGAUAUCAACCCACGCUUAUCGAUCACAUAUCCUUCCAUCGUUUCUCAUUGAAGCGACUCAGGUAUGGAUCGAUCACCAACGGAUAACCCUAACAUCGAAAAGUUGUCGGUUAAACAUUAAAUGAACAUGACAAGAGUAAAUUAAAUCAACGAACAUCAAUUUGUUUCUGAAAUUCGGACAAAACGAAAAUAUACACAUAAAAUACGAAUAUUCAUCAAUUCUUGAUUAAUGCAACAACAACGCGGCAAAAACAUCAAAAGUCACUUUGAAAACGCAUACAAAUAGAAAAUAGGCUAAAUAAAUUAAUUUUGGAUCAUACAAACAUUUUACAUGAUUUUAAUGAAUGCUGCACGAUUUCCCGAUUUUUUUUCCCCAAAAAACAAUUUUUCCCGAAUUUUAUCGAAAAUCGUAUGACAUUUUAUGAGAAACAUAUUUUCAGGAAAUCGUGCCGCAUUCCCUUUUAAUAUAAUGUAAUGACGUUAAAUUAGUUUAAUUUUUUAACUACUUCACGAAUUGAACCACUUUUGUUCAAUGUUCUUUUAAGUUCAAAUAAUAAGAAAAUAGACUAAAAACGUUGAAUAAAAAACAAAAAACGUUCCCAUUUUUAUCAAGAAUUAAAACCAAAU
Molecule: long non-coding RNA, 6837 nt
Organism: Contarinia nasturtii (swede midge)
Lineage: Eukaryota; Metazoa; Arthropoda; Insecta; Diptera; Cecidomyiidae
Exons: 3
Source: RefSeq, a predicted model, not a curated record